This 486-nucleotide ribosomal RNA is filed under the name uncultured bacterium. RNAcentral's name for it is "partial 16S ribosomal RNA". It matches the Rfam family "Bacterial small subunit ribosomal RNA", at positions 36 to 507 of the family's 1533-position model. The record is from RNAcentral.
CUUUCCCUCUUUCCUCCUGCCUUCCCCCUGCACGUCGACCGGAAGCACGGGUGCUUGCCCCUGGUGGCGAGUGGCGAACGGGUGAGUAAUACAUCGGAACAUGUCCUGUAGUGGGGGAUAGCCCGGCGAAAGCCGGAUUAAUACCGCAUACGAUCUACGGAUGAAAGCGGGGGACCUUCGGGCCUCGCGCUAUAGGGUUGGCCGAUGGCUGAUUAGCUAGUUGGUGGGGUAAAGGCCUACCAAGGCGACGAUCAGUAGCUGGUCUGAGAGGACGACCAGCCACACUGGGACUGAGACACGGCCCAGACUCCUACGGGAGGCAGCAGUGGGGAAUUUUGGACAAUGGGCGAAAGCCUGAUCCAGCAAUGCCGCGUGUGUGAAGAAGGCCUUCGGGUUGUAAAGCACUUUGGUCCGGAAAGAAAUCCUUGGCCCUAAUACGGUCAGGGGAUGACGGUACCGGAAGAAUAAGCACCGGCUAACUACGUG